RNAcentral lists this ribosomal RNA (361 nucleotides) under uncultured Eubacterium sp. RNAcentral's name for it is "bacterial SSU rRNA". It matches the Rfam family "Bacterial small subunit ribosomal RNA", at positions 355 to 732 of the family's 1533-position model. Lineage: Bacteria; Bacillati; Bacillota; Clostridia; Eubacteriales; Eubacteriaceae. The record is from RNAcentral.
UGGGGAAUAUUGCACAAUGGGGGAAACCCUGAUGCAGCAACGCCGCGUGAAGGAAGACGGUUUUCGGAUUGUAAACUUCUGUUCUUAACGAAGAAUAAUGACGGUAGUUAAGGAGCAAGCCACGGCUAACUACGUGCCAGCAGCCGCGGUAAUACGUAGGUGGCAAGCGUUGUCCGGAAUUACUGGGUGUAAAGGGAGCGUAGGCGGGAAGGCAAGUCAGCUGUGAAAACUACGGGCUUAACCUGUAGACUGCAGUUGAAACUGUUUUUCUUGAGUGAAGUAGAGGUUGGCGGAAUUCCGAGUGUAGCGGUGAAAUGCGUAGAUAUUCGGAGGAACACCGGUGGCGAAGGCGGCCAACUGG